AAGGAUCAUUACAAGAUUAUAGAAUUCCGUAUUCUUGAACCCCUGCAGUGUACUUGUUCUUGUUGCUUCCGUGGGCUGUGAGCCUUGUGCUUACGACCGCCUUCAUGGUGGACCCACGGGAGGAAAUCAUAAACCCCGUCUUCAUGUGGUAUCUGUCUGAGCUUGUUUAAUUCAUAAAUUUUAAAACUUUCAACAACGGAUCUCUUGGUUCUC
This 213-nucleotide unclassified non-coding RNA is filed under the name uncultured fungus. RNAcentral's name for it is "partial contains 18S rRNA, ITS1, 5.8S rRNA, ITS2 and 28S rRNA". The record is from RNAcentral. Lineage: Eukaryota; Fungi.